This 253-nucleotide ribosomal RNA is filed under the name uncultured bacterium. Its description in RNAcentral is "partial 16S ribosomal RNA". It matches the Rfam family "Bacterial small subunit ribosomal RNA", at positions 524 to 776 of the family's 1533-position model. The record is from RNAcentral.
UACGUAGGGGGCGAGCGUUGUCCGGAUUUAUUGGGCGUAAAGAGCGUGUAGGCGGCCAGGUAGGUCUGCUGUGAAAACUCGAGGCUCAACCUCGAGACGCCGGCAGAAACCAUCUGGCUAGAGUCCGGAAGAGGAGAGUGGAAUUCCUGGUGUAGCGGUGAAAUGCGCAGAUAUCAGGAAGAACACCCGUGGCGAAGGCGGCUCUCUGGGACGGUACUGACGCUGAGACGCGAAAGCGUGGGGAGCGAACAGG